This 3601-nucleotide long non-coding RNA is filed under the name Sus scrofa (pig). Its description in RNAcentral is "lncRNA (ENSSSCG00055009205.1)". Lineage: Eukaryota; Metazoa; Chordata; Mammalia; Artiodactyla; Suidae. The record is from RNAcentral.
AGGAGGCCCUCCCCUUAGGACCCAGACUGUCAUCUCCUCUGUGACAUCCUGAAUCUUCCUCUUUCUCAGGAAAUGGGAGCCGUGAAUUGCAGCUGAUUUUGGAGUUCAAACAGACUUUCCUGGACCAGGGAUCAGAUGCAAGCCACAGAUGCGACCUAUACCACCAUAGCUGCGACAACGCUGGAUCCUUAACCCACUGUGCCAGGCCGGGGAUUGAACCUGAGUCCCAGGGCUCCAGAGAUACCACCGAUCCUGUUGGGCCACAAGAGGAACUCCUCAACCUUGUUUUUAAAAUUGCACUUUUAUUGAGAUAAGAUUCCUCUGCCAUACAGUUCACCUAUUUAAAGGGGGACACGACGGUGCUGGUGCUUCCUUGGUCUAUCCAGGUGUCAGAGAAGGUUUUUAUACAGAGAUUAAGACUGCAUCCUCAUUCCUGAUUUGUGAGAAUGUGGAACAAACUUCAUUACAGAAAACCUGACCAGGCCCUGCCGUGGGCGCUGUGAUCAGGGGCUGCACUGAAGCCUCUCGGACAAGGGUAUCACCCGGCCCUUUCAUUGAGCAUCUAUUUCACUGAUGGAAGAAGAGGAAGAGAUAAUUGAACGUGUCUCUACUACUGAAGAAACCAUGUUUAGGAAAAACUCUGGAAGGAGGAGGGAUUUAUUGGUAUUGGAGCAUCGGGAACAGUUGGUGUCAAAAGGCUGUUGUCACUGCUGAAUCUGACCUUCAAACAUUUCCCCUGACUCAGCACUGUCUGCCUCAGCGUCCAGGUUCCAGUUUCUUCACAGGGUGCUUGUUGGCUGGAUGAUGGUGCAGACUGACUCAGAUGCCACCACAACUGUGUGUUUUGUGGCCAGUUUCCUAAUUCCUGGCGAGCCCUGAUUAGUCUUAGGAGGGAGGUGUUCCUGAGGGCAAAUGCCAUGGGGUGAAGAGAGAUGAAACAGAAAGGAAGAAGAGGGGAGACCUUGUCAUGGAAAUCCAGCUGAUCCAUGCAGGGAGCCUGCGAACUGAGAGCUAACAGCUUCAUUCAUCAGCAUUUAUCAAGUACUCACUGCAUCACAGAGGUGGAAGUUGCAGUGAAAAUAAGCUCCAUGUCAGGAUGAACUUUCUACCACCAGAACUGUCCCAAGAUGGACUUUUUCCUUGAGGGGGCUGAGGGGACAUUCACGUUUACUGCUUUGACAAUCUCUUGGUGAUGACACAGGUAACUGAGAAAGCCGUACAAAACACAGUCUCUGUUCUUGGAAAACGCAAAAGAGAGCUGGAAGAACAGAAUACAUGCUGAGAGGUACAGUGAUGUUGCCCACCUGGGGGACUCCGAGCUUGCGUGCUGAGGCCAAAUGAGUUAAUGCGUGACCACCAGGAUGUGCACCAUGCUUUCAAAUGUCUGGCCACAGACUGAAGCUCUUGCCCCUGCAUCCCCAUUAGUGUCUCUGAAGGACAAAGGAACAGUACAGGAGCUUGGAUUGUCAAGGAUCUACUUGGAGAUCACUUCAAAUUGACCAUUCCUCCAGAAACAGAUGUGUCAAUUCUGCACUGAGAGUAAAGCUCAAUAAUGAAAGCAUACCCUUAUUACUAAUCUUCUGGUUAAUACUUCCCUUCUUUCACUGGCCAGUGCUGCGGCUGCCUUCCUCCUUUUUACGUUGGCUCUGAAACCAAAACCUAACAGUGUUAACCCUUUUUUUAACUCCUCCGACUUGCAUGGCUCCCAGAAUAAAGACCCUGGAGCGAGGAGUUAAGGGCUCGCAUGACUGGAUGUUGUCCUUUCUAACUUCUCCCUCACCAACAUCUCCCUAGCUCUCUUCACUCCAGCCCUUUGAUGAUACUUUUCAGCCCCUGGAAACUUUAAAUUCUUCCCCAAACUUCAAAUUCCUCCUUCCAGGCUUUUGCACAUCUGCUCAUCUGCCUUGUCUUCACCUGUCACUUUGCACUUAAGAGUCAGAUCUCAGCUAAAGCUUCACUUCGGGAAGUGCUCCCCGACCUCCACUUUCAGCUCAGGGUAUCCACCAUAAACCCUCUCACCAGCGCACAGGCUGCUCCUUGCAGUCCUCAUUGCAUCUGUAAGGCAGUAUGUAUGUAUUUUGUCAUGAUGUCAUGGACGGUCUGUCUUCCCCAGUGGACUGUAAACUCCACAGUGUAAGGGUCCCUAUUUGUCCUUCUCACAGUUUCAUCUCUAGCACAUACCACAGUGCCUCACACAUGGUAGCCAAAUUUCACAGGUUACUUUCUUCUUUUGGCGGGGGGGGGGGGGGCUCACCUGUGGCAUGUCGAAAUUCCUGGGCCAGGGGUCGAAUUGGAGCUGCAGCCGCCAGCCUAUGCCACAGCCACAGCAAUGCCAGAUUGGAGCCUCGCCUGUGACCUAUGCCAUAGCUCAUGGCAAUGCUGGAUUUAACCCACUGAGUGGGGCCAGGGAUAGAACCUGCGUCCUCACAGAUACUGAUUGGGUUCAUUACUCCUGAGCCACAGUGGAAAUUCCUCACAGGUUAUUUUCUAUUCAUCCAACCAAUAUUUAUUGAGCACCCAUUAACCAAUGCUAGUGAUUAUUGCACAAAGUGAGAAAGGAAAAAAUGCCCCAAGAUCAUGGUUGAGGAUUCACUGGAGAAAGGGAAGUUACAGAGGCAAAUCCAACAUGAUUUAAACAGGAAAAUGAGUAAAAUAUAGAAGUUAGUAAAACAGUUUCUCUGUUCCUGACAAAGAAAGCCUCCUGGCAUGCUACACUGCAGCUCAUGGCUAUUACCAGGCACUUGUGGUUUCCAAGGAUUAUAAAUGCACUGAUGUAGCCUGCACUUUUAAUGACACAUCAAAUCAGUAGGGGGGGAGUUGUUCAGAACUUUGGGAAAUUCAACCGAGAAUGUUUACUUCAUUUAGCAAAUAUCUACUUAGGCAGAGUCUUUGAUGGGAUAGCUGACAUGUUAGGCCCUGCCGGGGAGUCUUACCUGUUCAGAAAAGAUUCACUCACAAGGCAGAAGAUACUUUGAUAAGUGCAGGAAAGAGCUAGAGCCUAGAUUUAUUUAUGUCAGUCAAGACAUAUACAGAGAAUAUGCCAUCUUUUAGAAUGAAAAUCAAAUCCUGAAGAACGGUUUUUUAAGAGAAGUUUGUUUGCAGUGACACGAUCACUUGAGAGCAUCAAUUUGAGUCUUUGUAUCCAGAGUUUACUGACUGCAGAAUGAAUAUAUUACACAUCAUCUGCCUUUGGCAUUGCACUGUAAAUAUUUCAUGGCUUUAAAUACAUGCCAUGAUUAGGUAUGUGUUUUAGUAGACAAGUGAAUAAGGGUGUAGAGCAAUGGAAUGAAAAUAUUUCCUUUCAGUUCAGCACAUUUUCAUCUGGGGGCUUUAAAAACACAUUAGAGAGAAAAAUUCUACAGUGCUGAGGUUCUCCUGGUGAUAACAGAGCUGAGGAUGGGAAACAGAUCCUAAGUUUUGGUCUUUAGUGCUCCCUGAAAAUGCUCAUAGACAUCCUCAGCUAUUUCACAAAUUUGUUUUGGUAUUAAAUAUUACUCCAAAAGCCAGUUUUUAAGUUAUUUAGCCAAUAAAGAUGGGGAAAGGGUUUUAAUGUUGAAGUAGCCUUGAAAUCAAACGAACAAAUACAAAUAAAGAACAUUCA